Daphnia pulicaria is the source of this 2503-nucleotide long non-coding RNA. RefSeq lists it as uncharacterized. The transcript has 11 exons. Lineage: Eukaryota; Metazoa; Arthropoda; Branchiopoda; Diplostraca; Daphniidae. The record is from RefSeq and is a predicted model, not a curated record.
AUGGCGGCCUUUUCUCUUCUCCUUUCGAACAACGUGGUUGCCCUUCUCAAGUUCUCAUGUGUAAUCGACUAAUCAAACUCGUCACGCUCUUGAUUGUGGAAAUCAAUGAUUUGGCCCUUUUUACUUCCACUCGUGCAUACGCUGAUUAUGGUAUGACCACAAGCGGUUGUUCUUUCGACGAAGACGUCUCUCAAGUUCUAGAUUUAAACUUCCAGUUUACUGGGAAUCGUGGAAGGAUUUGUGUGUACUCUUUGUGAACACCAGGACCAAGUAUGCAAUGGAUUCAAGAAAAUUGUUAGUGGUGAAAUGCAGAGACAAUAUUGUUGCUGUAGCGGCAGGAGGAGAUCAAAUGGGAUUUGUGCCCUGGCCCACCCCUAGCCUUUAGGCCCACCAUUAAAGGUGUUAAUCUUAAUCUUAUUCCUACUCUCAAUAACUACAGUUAUUUUAUUGCUUCCAGAUGGUGGUGAUUUGCUGCUAGAUUCGGCAGCUCAAGAUACACUUUUAUUUGUGUCAUUGUGUGGGGAGAAUUCGCUCAGUAGUCAGCAAGGAUGUAAUGCCCGGCGGAGCCUAUUGGCUUGUGUAUUCACUGUAAGCUGGGUCCUACAAGGAUCAGCCUCAGUCAGAUGGUAGAAAAUUAACCCUUCAAUUCAUUCAGGCAAUGGAAACUAAGUGAACAGCCUCCAUUGGCAGUGGCCCAUAUUCAAAAUUUUCCGCAGGUGUUAUCGGAACAAAUCUCUUGGAGGUACUCUUCUGUUGCAUGAGCAAAACUAUGACGAUCCUUCCAGCGGUAUUUAGAAUGAUCCAAGUCCGUGUGAUUGGGUAAAAUCGUUGGAAACAUAUUAGGCCUUUACGGUUGUAGAACAGGAAUCAGCUUCAUCUCAGUUCAUGGAUAUCAGGACCCGCUUUAUCACUUAAUAAUCAGUGACACGACGUUGAGGCUGCCGAAGUGAAUCUGAAAAUGUGAACUUCUCCUCUGCAACGGCCAGUUGUGAUGUGGCCCUGCAGUAUUUUAUUUGACCAACGACAAGAAAGUGCGCGUUUUCAACACGACGGAUCACCAGGGACCGAAAUUGGCCGCCUUUUUCGAAGAAGUCGCAUGUUUGACGAAAUGAAAUGUCAGAAGAAAUGGCGCGGCCAGCCGUUCCUCUUUUGGUGUCGUCGUACCGCCUUAGGAAUCCCAACUCAACCGUCGUCAAGGCUUCACACUGCGUGAAUUUCGUCGACACUGUUCAUGAGUCAACAUGUAUCGUUUUCUCUUAGAUUAAUGAAAAGCAAUUCCAAAUCUCACACGGCAACCAUUACCAGCCCCCUUCAAAGAAAGGAUUCACCGUCAACCUCCUGUCACUCAAAUUUAUCCUAGAUAUCCUGAUUCAGGCACCUUUAAAAUAUGGAACUUCGCUUUAGGUCUUAAGCCACGUCAACCUAUCACUUGGAGUUGGAUCCUAUAGUGCAGGUUGCAUGGAAUUCUCGUUUACCUUUGCUGUGAACAUAAGUAACAUCUGCACUAAUUGAAGUCCAUUUAGGUGACUAUCUUAUUAAGUUUAUUCAAAAAUUAAAUGCGUUGAGUUGGAAGUUAAACCAGAAGUUUUCCGUUCCGUCCAAUCUUCCGGGUGCCUAAGGAAUAUGUUGGAUAUCACUAGGUGGCUAAAAUUAUGUCUGCUAGAUGGCGUGAGUGUCUUCGUUACUCAAGACGAAAUUCUGCCAUUUCUUAAAACACUGAUUGGAAACCACAUGUUGAAAACGUAUCGUUGGAUUGGAUACUUAAUACGGCGUACUUUUCUUUCUUGACAUUUCUAUUCGUAAUAAUGGUAUUUAUCUGGUAACAGCCUAUAAUUUCUACAUGACAAUUUCAUCUGAUCAUGUGGCCUUAGUAGCUGAACAUUUUGCCAAAAUGUCGUCUCUUUUUCCUGUACCAGCUUCACGUUUGUCGGAUACAAUUCAGAACAAUUCGGGAUUAACACCCUGGUGGAGUUUGAGCUUCUUUGUUGCUGCCCAACUUUCACAUGGAUUUGAUGCAGCCAGCUGAGGGCUUUAACUCUGGUUUAGCGUCUAUAUUGGUGUAGUUGCUGUCCGAUGUGGCACGUUGUUGCAGCCUAUACUGGUGAAAGAUCUUUCGACAUCAAGCUCAAUUGGCCGUUCCUUGGUGCUGAAUUGCUGAUGCUGUGUUGCCGAAGUUGCAUCAUAUUUUGUUAAAUUGUCAUCGUGACUAUUGCAGUUUACCGUUUAUAAGUUCAGAAGCAACAAAAACAAAUGUGGGAUGUUUAUGUCAACAAAUAAUAAACGUGUUUCCAGGAUUGGGAAAGGAAAGUGGAGGAUGUUGGAGGGGGGAGGGAGGAUAUUUUAAGUUUUUAUAAAAAUUCAGUUAAUCUAUAACCCUACAAACGUACCCCUACCAAUUAAUAAUCUCCAAACCCCACAAACAUAUACCCUCCAUUCCUUCAAACCCCACAAACAUACACCUACUAAAUCUUAAAUUUAUAUCCUUAACCCUCUAAACCAAUAU